CCUACGGGGCGCAGCAGUGGGGAAUAUUGCACAAUGGGGGAAACCCUGAUGCAGCGACGCCGCGUGAGUGAAGAAGUAUUUCGGUAUGUAAAGCUCCAUCAGCAGGGAAGAAAAAAGACGGUACCUGACUAAGAAGCCCCGGCUAACUACGUGCCAGCAGCCGCGGUAAUACGUAGGGGGCAAGCGUUAUCCGGAUGUACUGGGUGUAAAGGGAGCGUAGACGGCGCGGCAAGUCUGAAGUGAAAGGCAGGGGCUUAACCCCUGAGCUGCUUUGGAAACUGCCAUGCUAGAGUGCUGGAGAGGUAAGUGGAAUUCCUAGUGUAGCGGUGAAAUGCAUAGAUAUCGCGCAGAACUCCGAUUGCGAAGGCAGCAUGCCGGCUCCACACUGACGCUGAGGCACGAAAGCGUGGGUAUCGAACAGGAUUAGAUACCCGAGUAGUC
This 441-nucleotide ribosomal RNA is filed under the name uncultured bacterium. Its description in RNAcentral is "partial 16S ribosomal RNA". It matches the Rfam family "Bacterial small subunit ribosomal RNA", at positions 338 to 795 of the family's 1533-position model. The record is from RNAcentral.